GAUGAAGAACGCAGCGAAAUGCGAUAAGUAAUGUGAAUUGCAGAAUUCAGUGAAUCAUCGAAUCUUUGAACGCACCUUGCACCCUUUGGCAUUCUGAAGGGUAUGCUCGUUUGAGUGUCAUUGUACUCUCACACUCCCGAUCUUUGCAUUGGGAGCAGUGGACUUGGGUUUGCUGCUUCACCGUCGCUUACCUCAAAUAGGUUAGUGCAACUCUUGGUUGGACAUAGUACGGCGUGAUAAGUGUUCUUCGCCGGUGCCUCGCAAAGAGGGUGGCCGAUCGGAAUGUUGUGCUCCAAACCGUCUUCGGACAAUCUCUGACGACUUGACCUCAAAUCGAGUAAGACUACCCGCUGAACUUAAGCAUAUCAAUAAGCGGAGGA
Molecule: unclassified non-coding RNA, 380 nt
Filed under: soil metagenome
Description: partial contains 5.8S ribosomal RNA, internal transcribed spacer 2, and large subunit ribosomal RNA
Rfam family: 5.8S ribosomal RNA (bases 1-120)
Source: RNAcentral